GACGAACGCUGGCGGCAGGCCUAACACAUGCAAGUCGAGCGAGGACUUCGUGCCUAUCUGCGGACGGGUGAGUAACGCGUGGUAACGUGCCCUUUGCUUCGGAAUAGCCCUGGGAAACUUGAAGUAAUACCGGAUGAGCCCUUUGGGGGAAAGAUUUAUCGGCGAAGGGUCGGCGCGUGUUGGAUUAGGUAGUUGGGGGGGUAAUGGCAUACCAACCCGACGAUGCAUAGCUGGUGUGAGAGGAUGCCAAGCCACACUGGGAAUGCGACCCGGACCACACUGCUACGGGAGGGAGCAGUGGGGAACAUUAGAGACUGAGGGAAAACGUAGUAUAGCCAUGCGGCGUGAGAGAUGAAGGGCUUAGGGUUGUAAAGUUCUUUGAGCUGAGAAGAUAAUGACGGUAACAGCAGAAGAAGCACCGGCUAACUCCGUG
Molecule: ribosomal RNA, 433 nt
Filed under: uncultured bacterium
Lineage: Bacteria
Description: partial 16S ribosomal RNA
Rfam family: Bacterial small subunit ribosomal RNA
Source: RNAcentral